Molecule: ribosomal RNA, 253 nt
Filed under: uncultured bacterium
Lineage: Bacteria
Description: partial 16S ribosomal RNA
Rfam family: Bacterial small subunit ribosomal RNA
Source: RNAcentral
UACGAAGGGGGCUAGCGUUGUUCGGAAUUACUGGGCGUAAAGCGCGUGUAGGCGGGUCUUUUAGUCAGGGGUGAAAUCCUGGAGCUCAACUCCAGAACUGCCUUUGAUACUGGAGAGCUAGAGUCCGGAAGAGGUGAGUGGAACUGCGAGUGUAGAGGUGAAAUUCGUAGAUAUUCGCAAGAACACCAGUGGCGAAGGCGGCUCACUGGUCCGGUACUGACGCUGAGGUGCGAAAGCGUGGGGAGCAAACAGG